UCGCUCACAGCAGAUACCUCUAUUGUUCUAGCAAGAGAAGGAUCGGCCUCCAACUCUGAUACGCACCUAUCAGUUGUCUAUCGGCUGUGAGAUUCUCGGUGUGUUUCAAGCUUGACAUCUUGUUGGUAUGCAGGUAGCAGCAAGGUUUUAGAAAGAAAGAAAAUUACAUUUGAUAUACAUCAAACAGGUGUAUUUUAUACACUCUUAGGACUAGGACGACAGGGUAGUUGGUAAUUCAUACCCUGGGUCUAUUAGGACUAGGAGAUCAGGGUAGUUGGUUAUUCAUACCCUGGGUCUAUUAGGACUAGGACGACAGGGUAGUUGGUUAUUCAUGCCCUGGGUCUAGUAGGACUAGGAUGACAGGGUAGUUGGUUAUUCAUGCCCUGGGUCUGUUAGGACUAGGAGAUCAGGGUAGUUGGUUAUUCAUACCCUGGGUCUAGUAGGACUAGGAUGACAGGGUAGUUGGUUAUUCAUACCCUGGAUCUAUUAGGACUAGGACGACAAGGUAGUUGGUUAUUCAUACCCUGGGUCUAUUAGGACUAGGAUGACAGGGUAGUUGGUUAUUCAUACCCUGGGUCUAUUAGGACUAGGAUGACAGGGUAGUUGGUUAUUCAUGCCCUGGGUCUGUUAGGACUAGGAGAUCAGGGUAGUUCGUUAUUCAUACCCUGCGUCUGUUAGGACUAGGAUGACAGGGUAGUUGGUUAUUCAUACCCUGGGUCUAUUAGGACUAGGACGACAGGGUAGUUGGUUAUUCAUACCCUGGGUCUAGUAGGACUAGGACGACAGGGUAAUUAGUUAUUCAUACCCUGGGUCUAGUAGGACUAGGAUGACAGGGUAGUUGGUUAUUCAUACCCUGGGUCUAUUAGGACUAGGAUAUCAGGGAGGUUUGAUUUUUAUUUCAGUAGAAACAUGUUAACAUUUCUCUAAAAUCAUUCAUUUUUGGAGGAAAACACAGUAUGACAAAUUCCUCUUCAACAUUAGCAAUACUCAGAGACCGUAUAGCCACUAUCAUUCAUCUUCAACACAGGCCAUACUCAGAGAGACUACUUAGCCACAGUGUCGUGGAAACACUUAUGUGGGUCUUCCAGAUGUCGUUUUGCAUCUCAGGGCCUACUGGGUCCUCUCUUGAUGAGAACAUGUCAUGCUUCCAAAAUGGCACCAUAUACCCUAUAUAUAGUGCACUACUUUUGACCAUAGCCCUAUGGGGUUAGGUGCCCUAUAAAAUGAAUUGGGUGCAAUUUGGGAUGGUGCCUGUGUUUUUGCAAUAUUUAGAUGAGCAAUCAGUCAGAAAUCCCACUGUGUUUAAGCCCAGGAAAGAGAAAGUAGUCUAAAAAUACAACAGUAACAGUAUGUUUGGCAACUCCUCGUACAUUUCAGGUCUAUAUCAAUGAUGUCUCCUUGAAUCUGAG
RNAcentral lists this long non-coding RNA (1409 nucleotides) under Salmo salar (Atlantic salmon). RNAcentral describes it as "lncRNA (ENSSSAG00000090944.1)". The record is from RNAcentral. Lineage: Eukaryota; Metazoa; Chordata; Actinopteri; Salmoniformes; Salmonidae.